AUGAACGCUGGCGGCGUGCCUAAUACCUGCAAGUCGAGCGCACAGACGAGGAGCUUGCUCCUCUGACGUUAGCGGCGGACGGGUGAGUAACACGUGGAUAACCUACCUAUAAGACUGGGAUAACUUCGGGAAACCGGAGCUAAUACCGGAUAAUAUAUUGAACCGCAUGGUUCAAUAGUGAAAGACGGUUUUGCUGUCACUUAUAGAUGGAUCCGCGCCGCAUUAGCUAGUUGGUAAGGUAACGGCUUACCAAGGCAACGAUGCGUAGCCGACCUGAGAGGGUGAUCGGCCACACUGGAACUGAGACACGGUCCAGACUCCUACGGGAGGCAGCAGUAGGGAAUCUGCCGCAAUGGGCGAAAGCCUGACGGAGCAACGCCGCGUGAGUGAUGAAGGUCUUCGGAUCGUAAAACUCUGUUAUUAGGGAAGAACAAAUGUGUAAGUAACUAUGCACGGCUUGACGGUACCUAAUCAGAAAGCCACGGCUAACUACGUG
Molecule: ribosomal RNA, 496 nt
Filed under: uncultured bacterium
Lineage: Bacteria
Description: partial 16S ribosomal RNA
Rfam family: Bacterial small subunit ribosomal RNA
Source: RNAcentral